This is a long non-coding RNA of Hemicordylus capensis (graceful crag lizard), 1599 nucleotides long. RefSeq lists it as uncharacterized. The record is from RefSeq and is a predicted model, not a curated record. The transcript has 2 exons. Lineage: Eukaryota; Metazoa; Chordata; Lepidosauria; Squamata; Cordylidae.
UCGCCUGCUGAAGCAUAAUUAUGCUUAAUUUCCAGGGGAGGGGGAGCCCUCCAAAGGCCUUUAGCUCCCCAGGCUCCAAAUUAGCUAAGUGCACCUCUGUCCCCACACAGGGCAGGAGCGAGAGCUGACAAUACAAAGCAACGGAGAAGCCCAGGGUUUUAGCAUCAUUGUGACCGGGUGGCAGCGGCAGAUGUAUGCCCCCCUCCCCUCCCCAAAACAAACGGUAGCUGCAAAAAACAGGAGUUUCCCUUCUUCAGACAAUGAGACAAAGUAGUACAGUAUUUUCUUAUAUCUGUGUGUUCAAGUCAACACAACACACGCGUCCAACGGAGCGGAGGAGAAAGGUUUCAGGAAAAACUGCAUGAGCCAAACAAGCACAUGGAAGGGCAAGCUCCCUUCAGAACAUUCAAACAUGCUACUAACCCAACAGGAUCAAAAUAUUUUAAAAAGUGUUAUUACAAAGAUCAAAGGAAAAGACUCGGCAUUAAGAAAGUAAAAACUUGCAAAUUGGCUUCUAGCCCCAUAGGCCUAAUUUGCAUUGAUGCUUACAGGUUACAAUUUUUCUAGGGCAGCUUAACCAGGGAGGAACAAACAGGACUGGCUGCAGUCCACUGGAAAGAGAGGGAACAAUGGGAGAGAGAUGUGACUUCACCAAACCAGAUGAGAGUAAAUAGGGCCAAAGUUUUCCCUACAGCCAAUAGGACAGGAGUGCACAACUCAAAUGCCCCAGUGGGCCAGAACCAACCGUGACUUGCUGUGUGGGGGCCAAGGACAAUUUUCAGCACAUUAAUUAUUGCAUUAAAAUUAAUUAUUAAAAAUAUAAGUGAAAGUGAGGGGCAGAGGUUGGAGUCGGGGGGAAAGGGGAUGGUGUCAGUGGGCUCUGGUCCAGAAGGGGACAUCUGAUCUCAAGCCAACUGUAUUGAUCCGCUGCUGCUUGUCAGCGGGACAGGCCAAGAGUUCUUCAUGGCUCUUGCUGUUGCUGCAGGAUAUUCCUACCUGUGGCCCAGGGAAAAGGUCCAUGAGGGCCAUAUCCAGCCCCCAGGCCUUAUGUUGUGCAGGCCUCCUGCAAUAGGUGAUGACAUCCCUCAGUUUCAUCGAGCCAGCAGCACAGUUGCUGAGGUAAUCAACCUCACUGGUAGCUUAACUGAUGGACAAGGCCAUGGGGUCUCUGUGUCUCCUGGUUACAUCCCCAAGCAGAAGGGCUGAAUGAAAGGUUAAAAUGUAUUGCCUCCAGCAAACUAGAACUGAUAAACUGAAAGAAAGAAAAACAAAUUGUCUGUGCGGGGAGAGAGGCUACCCCCCCGCCCCCAACCUCUGAUGUCUCUCCGCCACCUCCACUGCGAACUGGACCAGACCUGGUUCAGCCAAGACCGGACUGGGUCGGUUCAAAUCCGGAUCAGAUUAGAACCAAACUGGCAAAACCGGCUCCUAUAUACUGGUUCUCCACACAUGCAUAUUUUCCUUCUGUUCACAAGGUGGCAGCAUUUACUUUCAGAAUAUAUUAUGUUUUUAUUGGCGUAAUAAUAUACUAGGCUCAGUUGAGCUUUUCUCUGAACUAUGAUAGUGCCUAUAAUUGUUAAAAUAAAAGUUUCAAACAAA